AAUAAGCCUACCCUCAUGGUUAAGUUGGACAUCCAGCAGGCUUUUGACAUGGUGUCCUGGGAGUUUCUUAUCAAGUUGCUCGAGGCCCGAGGUGUGGCCCGAAGGCUGAUAGACAUGCUGGCAGCUCUGCUUCGCUCCUCCACCACCAAUAUCCUUGUCAAUGGGGAGCUAUCGAACAACAUCAGCCAUAGAAGGGGCCUUCAACAGGGGGACCCCCUAUCACCCCUCCUGUUUGUCAUCGUCAUGGACUGCUUGGCGUUGAUGUUCGACUGGGCUGUGCAGCUAGGGAUACUUGGCCCCAUUGGACACAAAAAUCUGCCCUUCAGAACAUCGCUUUAUUCGGACGAUGCUGUGUUUUUCAUCAAUCCGAGAGCGUGUGAAAUACAGGCUAUCAGGAGCAUGCUGCUGCUGUUCGGGGAGGCUACAGGGCUCAAGUGCAAUUUUUCCAAGUCAUCAGUCACGCCCAUAUACUGUGAGGGGGUGGAUGUUGGGUCGAUCCUUCAAGGCCUGGAAUGUCCGGUCAAGCCUUUCCCAUGUCAAUAUUUAGGCAUGCCCAUCUCAGACUCAAAACUGAAAAAAGGGGAACUACAACCGGUGUGA
Molecule: ribosomal RNA, 600 nt
Filed under: Triticum aestivum (bread wheat)
Lineage: Eukaryota; Viridiplantae; Streptophyta; Magnoliopsida; Poales; Poaceae
Description: partial small subunit ribosomal RNA
Source: RNAcentral